GAUGAACGCUGGCGGCGUGCCUAAUACAUGCAAGUCGAGCGAACAGACGAGGAGCUUGCUCCUCUGACGUUAGCGGCGGACGGGUGAGUAACACGUGGAUAACCUACCUAUAAGACUGGGAUAACUUCGGGAAACCGGAGCUAAUACCGGAUAAUAUAUUGAACCGCAUGGUUCAAUAGUGAAAGACGGUUUUGCUGUCACUUAUAGAUGGAUCCGCGCCCCAUUAGCUAGUUGGUAAGGUAACGGCUUACCAAGGCAACGAUGCGUAGCCGACCUGAGAGGGUGAUCGGCCACACUGGAACUGAGACACGGUCCAGACUCCUACGGGAGGCAGCAGUAGGGAAUCUUCCGCAAUGGGCGAAAGCCUGACGGAGCUACGCCGCGUGAGUGAUGAAGGUCUUCGGAUCGUAAAACUCUGUUAUUAGGGAAGAACAAAUGUGUAAGUAACUAUGCACGUCUUGACGGUACCUAAUCAGAAAGCCACGGCUAACUACGUG
RNAcentral lists this ribosomal RNA (497 nucleotides) under uncultured bacterium. RNAcentral's name for it is "partial 16S ribosomal RNA". It matches the Rfam family "Bacterial small subunit ribosomal RNA", at positions 28 to 507 of the family's 1533-position model. The record is from RNAcentral.